Molecule: small nuclear RNA, 19 nt
Filed under: Arabidopsis thaliana (thale cress)
Lineage: Eukaryota; Viridiplantae; Streptophyta; Magnoliopsida; Brassicales; Brassicaceae
Description: snRNA_00664
Source: RNAcentral
AUGGCUUAGACAAUGGCCA